Non-coding RNA from Macaca mulatta (Rhesus monkey), 968 nucleotides. NCBI's taxonomy places the organism in Eukaryota, Metazoa, Chordata, Mammalia, Primates, Cercopithecidae. The record is from RefSeq and is a predicted model, not a curated record.
AUGCUGCUGGUGAGCGUGGUGGGAUGUGUUUAUGUUGGAUACAACCUGGAGCCCUGCACCGGAGCAUCUCACUGCCAGGAGAACUGGUGUGGUGGAGGAGAGAAGCGUGAAGCCAUUUCUAUCCCAGCACACCCAGCGGUUUCAGAGAUGACAAGGAAAAUCUUCAUUACCAUUUCAAGAACUGGGAACAAAGAAAAAUCCCGUUCCAGGAGACAGAGGAGGAGAUGCGGGUAGCUGAACAGAAACUGUUGAAGAUUACCAUGGGAAUACACCUGUGAACUUCCAGCUGUGACCGGAGCUCAGCCGCCCCCCUCCCCCUGCUGGACCUUCAGGAUCUGGUGCAGGUGAGUUUGCAGCAGCCAACAAGCAGCUUGACAGGAGCUUUUUCCAGGCCUCUUGGGAAUAGGAGUGUCAGAAGGAAAAGCUCUUGCUCAACUCCUAAUUCAAGAAAGAGAGGUGAACAAAUAAGUAAAAAUAAACUUUACACUUUCUAGGGAUUUAAAAUGGGAUCGUAGGUGCAUGAUCUCAUUUGAGCCUCACGACAAGCAGAUGAGGCUGCACAGUGAAUGAACGCCUCUUACUCUGCCAGCCCAGUAUUCCUUUCUUUUGGAUCCUGACUUUUCCUCCAUUGUGUUCUGGUGGGGCUGCCAGUCACAGGACAGUCCCAUCUCUUGGAUCCCUUCCAUCCCCCACCCCCAACGUUGGACAUGUGGUUCUGGCUAGGCCACUGAAUUCUUUUUGCUGGGGAUUUGAAUCUUAUGGAGAGAUGCCUUGGGGGAGAAAGAUAUUGGAGUUGUGUAAAGAGAAUGCCCAGAGCCUGGCUGUUCAGCUCUUCGUUCCGUUCUGUGAGUUAUUUUAGUUUCCUUCCAGUAAAAUUGCCUGAGUUCGUAUGGGCUCCUGUCUACCAAAGAAACCCAAAUUAUAAACCCCCUUUAGUUUCAAAUUGCCAGGUGUUGAGCCCAGGUCCU